UACGAAGGGGGCUAGCGUUGUUCGGAAUUACUGGGCGUAAAGGGCGUGUAGGCGGUUCGCUAAGUCAGGCGUGAAAUGCCCGAGCUCAACUCGGGAACUGCGCUUGAUACUGGCGGACUCGAGUCCGGGAGAGGAUGGUGGAACUCCCAGUGUAGAGGUGAAAUUCGUAGAUAUUGGGAAGAACACCCGUGGCGAAGGCGGCCAUCUGGACCGGUACUGACGCUAAGGCGCGACAGCGUGGGGAGCAAACAGG
RNAcentral lists this ribosomal RNA (253 nucleotides) under uncultured bacterium. Its description in RNAcentral is "partial 16S ribosomal RNA". It matches the Rfam family "Bacterial small subunit ribosomal RNA", at positions 524 to 776 of the family's 1533-position model. The record is from RNAcentral.